This 253-nucleotide ribosomal RNA is filed under the name uncultured bacterium. RNAcentral's name for it is "partial 16S ribosomal RNA". It matches the Rfam family "Bacterial small subunit ribosomal RNA", at positions 524 to 776 of the family's 1533-position model. The record is from RNAcentral.
UACAGAGGGGGCAAGCGUUGUUCGGAAUUACUGGGCGUAAAGCGCACGUAGGCGGCUUUGUAAGUUAGAGGUGAAAGCCCGGAGCUCAACUCCGGAAUUGCCUUUAAGACUGCAUCGCUCGAAUCAUGGAGAGGAGAGUGGAAUUCCGAGUGUAGAGGUGAAAUUCGUAGAUAUUCGGAAGAACACCAGUGGCGAAGGCGACUCACUGGUCCGGUACUGACGCUGUGGUGCGAAAGCGUGGGGAGCAAACAGG